GUUUACGUCUAUAAUUCCAACACUUUGGGAGGCUGAGGUGGAAGGAUUGCUUGAGCCCAGGAGUUUGAGACCAGCCUGGGCAACGUAGGGAGACCCUGUCUCUACAAAAUUUAAAAACGGCAACAACAACAAAAAACCCUACUAGCUGUGCAGCGGAGUGGUGCGCACCUGUGGUCCCUAACUACAAGCUACUCAGAAGGCAAGGUAGGAGCAUCACUGGGGCCCAGGAGGUCAAGGCUGCACUGUUCAUACCAUUGCACUCCAGCCUGGGUGACAGAGCGAGACCUUGUCUCAAAAGAAAAAAAAAAACAAUCUCAGUAAUAAUGACCACUGUGGCUGGGUGUGGUGGCUCACACCUGUAGUCCCAGCACUUUGGGAGGCUGAGGUGGGCAGAUCACCUGAGGUCGGGAGUUCGAGACCAGCCUGACCAACAUGUAAAAACCCCGUCUCUACUAAAAAAAAAAAAAAAAAUUAGCCGGGUGUGGUGGCAUACGCCUGUAAUCCCAGCUACUCGGGAGGCUAAGGCAGGAGAAUCGCUUGAACCCAGGAGGCGGAGGUUGCCGUGAGCUGAGAUUGCACCAUUGCACUCCAGCCUGGGCAACAAGAGUGAAACUCUGUCUCAAACAAAAAAAAGAAAAAAAAAAGUGACCACUGCAUCAAUAGUGGCUGCUGGAAUUACAGAUAAGCUUAGGAGAGCUAGCCUAAAGACUUUUAUUACUUUCCUCCAUAAAUUAACUGGCUCUGACUCUGUGUUGUUCAUUAUGGGACAGUGAGGUAUGAUGUAAUGGAAGGGCAUCAGGCUAGAAAACUACAUGGUCUUAAGGUCAUUGGAUAAUCUCUUGGGGCAUUGUUUUCCUUGGUGUGUGAUAAAGCUAAUAUAAUGAGGUACUUGUCCAGCCUACCUCACAGGGAUGUUGUGAGGAUAAAAUGAGAUAAUAGAUAUGAAACUGGCUUGGAAAAAAAAGAAAAGCAUUAUACA
RNAcentral lists this long non-coding RNA (979 nucleotides) under Homo sapiens (human). RNAcentral's name for it is "HSALNT0094994". The record is from RNAcentral. Lineage: Eukaryota; Metazoa; Chordata; Mammalia; Primates; Hominidae.